UUAUAUGAAUAAUGCCAUUUGCAGC
RNAcentral lists this non-coding RNA (25 nucleotides) under Rattus norvegicus (Norway rat). Lineage: Eukaryota; Metazoa; Chordata; Mammalia; Rodentia; Muridae. The record is from RNAcentral.